This is a regulatory RNA element of Acetobacter orientalis, 101 nucleotides long. It matches the Rfam family "Guanidine-I riboswitch aptamer". Rfam says of the family: This family represents a conserved RNA structure found upstream of the ykkC and yxkD genes in Bacillus subtilis and related genes in other bacteria. The record is from Rfam. NCBI's taxonomy places the organism in Bacteria, Pseudomonadati, Pseudomonadota, Alphaproteobacteria, Acetobacterales, Acetobacteraceae.
GCAAUGGUUCGCUAGGGUUCCGGUCUGUUUAUGCAGAUGUCUGGUCCGAGAGCGAACGACCUCUGGUUGAGGUUACACGGCGGGACAAAAGCCCGGGAGAC